AUGCUGAACUCUGGCAACAUAGCUAGAGUGUGGAAAGACACGAUCAGGGGCGGGGCCCCUUCGCAAACCCAAUUCCCUACCUUGUACAGUAUCUGCAAUUACCAGGAAAUCACGGUGGUUGAUUUCAAAAUUUUUGAAGGUGGGGAUCUCCUUAGGAGACGCCUGCACCCUCCUCUUGCAGAUCAGUGGAAGGACCUUGUUAAGGUGGUGAACUCCUGGCCCUUGUCUAAUGAAUCUGAUCAGGUUGUUUGGGCCUUGGGAAAAAAGAAACGGUUCUCGACCAAAUCAAUUUACCCCUAUUUGGAAAGACACCUGGCAGGAUGUGAUUAUAAGUGGAUUUGGAAAGCCAAGACCCCCCUUAAAAUUCAAAUUUUUCUAUGGCACCUUUUCCAAGAUGCUAUCCUGACUAGAGAAGUCGUGAAGAAACGGAACUGGGCUGGUAAUCCCAGGUGCUCAUUUUGCAGAGAGGUUGAAACAUCACAACAUCUUUUUUUCACAUGCCAUGUUGCUCGUGUAGCCUGGAGGACAGAUCUAUGCCCGAACAACAUUUGGCAAUACUUUUCCUGGUGCUAUGUUUUCCUCCCGGUUGGGGCUAGGUUCUAUACCUUUGGCUUGGCAGCGGUUUGCUGGGCGAUUUGGAACUGCCGUAACCAAGCGACGUUCGAGCAGGAAAAACUUAAGACUCCAUUUAAUGUGAUAUAUUCUGCUUGUGCUUUUUUGACAUACCGGGCAGGUUUGAUGGCUGGUGAGGACCGUGAAGCCAUGGAGCGGGGAGCCAAGAUGCUCGGGACUAAUGCUUCGACGAUGAUGCGAAUCUGUGCGGCUCCAGUAGAAGUAGCUAUGGAGUGA
RNAcentral lists this ribosomal RNA (849 nucleotides) under Triticum aestivum (bread wheat). Its description in RNAcentral is "partial small subunit ribosomal RNA". Lineage: Eukaryota; Viridiplantae; Streptophyta; Magnoliopsida; Poales; Poaceae. The record is from RNAcentral.